GGGUGAGUAACUCAGCUGGGAGAGUGUUUGCUCGACAAGCAAAAAGUCGUAGGUUCGAGUCCUAUCUUGCCCACCA
RNAcentral lists this transfer RNA (76 nucleotides) under Tissierella pigra. RNAcentral's name for it is "Tissierella sp. DSM 105185 tRNA-Val". It matches the Rfam family "tRNA". Rfam says of the family: Transfer RNA (tRNA) molecules are approximately 80 nucleotides in length. Their secondary structure includes four short double-helical elements and three loops (D, anti-codon, and T loops). Further hydrogen bonds mediate the characteristic L-shaped molecular structure. tRNAs have two regions of fundamental functional importance: the anti-codon, which is responsible for specific mRNA codon recognition, and the 3' end, to which the tRNAs corresponding amino acid is attached (by aminoacyl-tRNA synthetases). tRNAs cope with the degeneracy of the genetic code in two manners: having more than one tRNA (with a specific anti-codon) for a particular amino acid; and 'wobble' base-pairing, i.e. permitting non-standard base-pairing at the 3rd anti-codon position. Lineage: Bacteria; Bacillati; Bacillota; Tissierellia; Tissierellales; Tissierellaceae. The record is from RNAcentral.